GAUGAACGCUGGCGGCGUGCCUAAUACAUGCAAGUCGAGCGAACGGACGAGAAGCUUGCUUCUCUGAUGUUAGCGGCGGACGGGUGAGUAACACGUGGAUAACCUACCUAUAAGACUGGGAUAACUUCGGGAAACCGGAGCUAAUACCGGAUAAUAUUUUGAACCGCAUGGUUCAAAAGUGAAAGACGGUCUUGCUGUCACUUAUAGAUGGAUCCGCGCUGCAUUAGCUAGUUGGUAAGGUAACGGCUUACCAAAGCAACGAUGCAUAGCCGACCUGAGAGGGUGAUCGGCCACACUGGAACUGAGACACGGUCCAGACUCCUACGGGAGGCAGCAGUAGGGAAUCUUCCGCAAUGGGCGAAAGCCGGACGGAGCAACGCCGCGUGAGUGAUGAAGGUCUUCGGAUCGUAAAACUCUGUUAUUAGGGAAGAACAUAUGUGUAAGUAACUGUGCACAUCUUGACGGUACCUAAUCAGAAAGCCACGGCUAACUACGUGCCAGCAGCCGCGGUAAUACGUAGGUGGCAAGCGUUAUCCGGAAUUAUUGGGCGUAAAGCGCGCGUAGGCGGUUUUUUAAGUCUGAUGUGAAAGCCCACGGCUCAACCGUGGAGGGUCAUUGGAAACUGGAAAACUUGAGUGCAGAAGAGGAAAGUGGAAUUCCAUGUGUAGCGGUGAAAUGCGCAGAGAUAUGGAGGAACACCAGUGGCGAAGGCGACUUUCUGGUCUGUAACUGACGCUGAUGUGCGAAAGCGUGGGGAUCAAACAGGAUUAGAUACCCUGGUAGUCCACGCCGUAAACGAUGAGUGCUAAGUGUUAGGGGGUUUCCGCCCCUUAGUGCUGCAGCUAACGCAUUAAGCACUCCGCCUGGGGAGUACGACCGCAAGGUUGAAACUCAAAGGAAUUGACGGGGACCCGCACAAGCGGUGGAGCAUGUGGUUUAAUUCGAAGCAACGCGAAGAACCUUACCAAAUCUUGACAUCCUUUGACAACUCUAGAGAUAGAGCCUUCCCCUUCGGGGGACAAAGUGACAGGUGGUGCAUGGUUGUCGUCAGCUCGUGUCGUGAGAUGUUGGGUUAAGUCCCGCAACGAGCGCAACCCUUAAGCUUAGUUGCCAUCAUUAAGUUGGGCACUCUAAGUUGACUGCCGGUGACAAACCGGAGGAAGGUGGGGAUGACGUCAAAUCAUCAUGCCCCUUAUGAUUUGGGCUACACACGUGCUACAAUGGACAAUACAAAGGGCAGCGAAACCGCGAGGUCAAGCAAAUCCCAUAAAGUUGUUCUCAGUUCGGAUUGUAGUCUGCAACUCGACUACAUGAAGCUGGAAUCGCUAGUAAUCGUAGAUCAGCAUGCUACGGUGAAUACGUUCCCGGGUC
RNAcentral lists this ribosomal RNA (1371 nucleotides) under uncultured bacterium. RNAcentral describes it as "bacterial SSU rRNA". It matches the Rfam family "Bacterial small subunit ribosomal RNA", at positions 28 to 1380 of the family's 1533-position model. The record is from RNAcentral.